UACGAAGGGGGCUAGCGUUGCUCGGAAUCACUGGGCGUAAAGGGUGCGUAGGCGGGUCUUUUAAGUCAGGGGUGAAAUCCUGGAGCUCAACUCCAGAACUGCCUUCGAUACUGGAAAGCUCGAGUCCGGGAGAGGUGAGUGGAACUGCGAGUGUAGAGGUGAAAUUCGUAGAUAUUCGCAAGAACACCAGUGGCGAAGGCGGCUCACUGGCCCGGUACUGACGCUGAGGUGCGAAAGCG
This 239-nucleotide ribosomal RNA is filed under the name uncultured bacterium. RNAcentral's name for it is "partial 16S ribosomal RNA". It matches the Rfam family "Bacterial small subunit ribosomal RNA", at positions 524 to 761 of the family's 1533-position model. The record is from RNAcentral.